RNAcentral lists this long non-coding RNA (711 nucleotides) under Heterocephalus glaber (naked mole-rat). RNAcentral's name for it is "lncRNA (ENSHGLG00000046930.1)". The record is from RNAcentral. Lineage: Eukaryota; Metazoa; Chordata; Mammalia; Rodentia; Bathyergidae.
GGCAGUGACUCAGCUGUGGCCUGGGGUGGGGGUGACCAGGCUAUUUUGGGGGAAUGAAUAAGGAGGGGCAUUUGAUACCUGGAUGACCCUGCCUCUAAUCCUCUGAAUCCCCUUUCUCUAGGCUGGGCUGGUUUCUUGUGUGGAUGCCAUGUACACCAUCGUGUGGGGUCAGAGCCCUCUGAGAGGAGCCCAGCCUUCCUCCCUCCUCAUUCCCCUGUCUUCAUUCCAGAGAGAAGGGUUGGGGAAUUUCUGAAUAACCGCCCCCAGCUCCUCAAGAGGGCCCUAGUUUCCACACUAUUCUCUAGGUCCUUGUCCACUUCUGGACUCUUCCCUGUGACUCAGGGCCUAGACUCUCUGGGAAUGGAGAGGAGAGGAAUGUGGCACAAGGGAGCUGACUUCGGGGCUAUUUCUGACUCUGGAGUCAUCAGCUGCUCAGUCACAGACGAGGGUGGCAGUGAGGUAGGGGUAUCACAUUUGCCUCCUCUUUUGCUCCCUGGAAGAGCCUGAGGGACCUGGUGGGCUUCAGAGAUGCGGGCACUUGGACCGGUCUACAGUGUACACCUUGGCGGAAUCGUCCCCUUAGAUGAGAACCGAAAGGGCUGCUGAAUCCUGGAGACUGGAGCAUUUGUAAAGAAUAGAGGCUUGUUUCACCGCAUAGUUCUGUAGGCUGGAAGAUCAGGGGCUGCAUCUGGCUGGAUCAUAACACAAGAG